AAAGAGAGAAGAACACAGUGUCUAGUUGGAUAUAAGCUGCACAUUGACGUAACUACAGUAAGCAAGCUACUACGUGCAGCAGGCGCGGUUAUUACGUAGGUGGCAGCGUAUCCGGAAUAUUGGGCGUAAGCGCGCGCCAGUGGUUUUCUUAAGUUUGAUUGUGAAGCCCACGGGCUCCACCCGUGGAGGGUCCAUUGGAAACUUGGGAGACCUUGAGGUGCAGAAAGAGGAAAGUGGAAUUCCAUGUGGUAGCGGGUGAAAUGCGGUAGAGAGAUAUUGGAGGAACACACCAGUGGGCGGAAGGCGGACUUUCUUGGUCUUGUAACUGACACUUGAGGGCGCCGGAAAGCGUGGGGGAGCAAAACAGGAUUAGAAUAACCUGGUAGUUCACGCCGUAAACGAUGAGUGGUAAGUGUUAGAGGGUUUCCGCCCUUUAGUGCUGAAGUUAACGCCUUAAGCAAUCCGCCUGGGGAGUUCGGCCGCAAGGCUGAAACUCAAAGGAAUUGACGGGGGCCCGCACCAGCGGUGGAGCAUGUGGUUUAAUUUGAAGCAACGCGAAGAACCUUACCAGGUUUUGACAUCCUUUGACAACCCUAGAGAUAGGGGUUUUCCUUUGGGAGCCGAGUGACAGGUGGUGCAUGGUUGUUGUCAGGUUGUGUUGUGAGAUGUUGGGUUAAGUUCCGCAACGAGCGCAACCCUUGAUUUUAGUUGCCAUCCUUUAGUUGGGCCCUUUAAGGUGACUGCCGGUGACAAACCGGAGGAAGGUGGGGAAGACGUCAAAUCAUCCUGCCCCUUAUGACCUGGGGUACCCCCGUGGUUCAAUGGACGGUACAAAGAGGUGCAAGGCCGCGAGGUGGAGGUAAUUUUAUAAAACCGUUUUCAGUUUGGAUUGUAGGGUGCAACUUGCCUACCUGAAGCCGGAAUCGGUUGUAAUCGCGGAUCAGCCUGCCGCGGGGAAUACGUUCCCGGGCCUUGUACACCCCGCCCGUCACCCCCCGAGAGUUUGUAACACCCGAAGUCGGUGGGGUAACCUUUUUGGAGCCAGCCGCCUAAGGUGGACAGAUAUGGUAACGUCUAGU
RNAcentral lists this ribosomal RNA (1079 nucleotides) under Bacillus cereus. RNAcentral's name for it is "bacterial SSU rRNA". It matches the Rfam family "Bacterial small subunit ribosomal RNA", at positions 418 to 1492 of the family's 1533-position model. The record is from RNAcentral. Lineage: Bacteria; Bacillati; Bacillota; Bacilli; Caryophanales; Bacillaceae.